GGGGGCGACCCGGUUUCGACGGGUAAGGUGGAGCUCCGGUGGCGCGCCGAGGACCCCGGUUGGCCUCGUUAAACAUCCGGGAAACAACACAAAAGCCAACACAGAGAUGGCUCUCGCGGCUUAAUGCCGUGACGUCCGGCCGCUGACACCUGCUACGCGGUUCGGGCGAAGACAGCAGGCUGGCCCCAAGGGCGCGUGCCCGGCCGGAGGGGCGAGACCCUAACGUGGGCGCUGGUUUCGCAUGUGGCCUGUCCGUUGGCAGCAUGCGGGACGAGAUCCAAAGACGGAACACGCGCGUAGAAGCCGGUGCGACUCUUGCUCGGACGGGGGUUCAAUUCCCCCCGCCUCCAG
Molecule: transfer-messenger RNA, 351 nt
Filed under: Kiritimatiellia bacterium
Lineage: Bacteria; Pseudomonadati; Kiritimatiellota; Kiritimatiellia
Description: Kiritimatiellae bacterium (wastewater metagenome) transfer-messenger RNA
Rfam family: transfer-messenger RNA
About the family: Bacterial tmRNA, also known as 10Sa RNA or SsrA, is named for its dual tRNA and mRNA-like properties. Its role is to liberate the mRNA from a stalled ribosome. To accomplish this part of the tmRNA is used as a reading frame that ends in a translation stop signal.
Source: RNAcentral